GCCAUAUCACGUUGAAACAUGUUCCCGUACGGUCACCGAAGUUAAGCAACGUCGAGCCUGGUCAGUACCUAGAUGGGUGACCGCAUGAGAAGACCAUGUGCUGUAA
This is a non-coding RNA of Acanthosepion pharaonis, 106 nucleotides long. The record is from the annotation of a GenBank genome assembly. Lineage: Eukaryota; Metazoa; Mollusca; Cephalopoda; Sepiida; Sepiidae.